Molecule: ribosomal RNA, 1059 nt
Filed under: uncultured bacterium
Lineage: Bacteria
Description: bacterial SSU rRNA
Rfam family: Bacterial small subunit ribosomal RNA
Source: RNAcentral
CCUGGCUCAGAUUGAACGCUGGCGGCAGGCUUAACACAUGCAAGUCGAGCGGGGAUAGGGUGCUUGCACCUGAUUCCUAGCGGCGGACGGGUGAGUAAUGCUUAGGAAUCUGCCUAUUAGUGGGGGACAACGUUCCGAAAGGGACGCUAAUACCGCAUACGUCCUACGGGAGAAAGCAGGGGAUCUUCGGACCUUGCGCUAAUAGAUGAGCCUAAGUCGGAUUAGCUAGUUGGUGGGGUAAAGGCCUACCAAGGCGACGAUCUGUAGCGGGUCUGAGAGGAUGAUCCGCCACACUGGGACUGAGACACGGCCCAGACUCCUACGGGAGGCAGCAGUGGGGAAUAUUGGACAAUGGGGGGAACCCUGAUCCAGCCAUGCCGCGUGUGUGAAGAAGGCCUUUUGGUUGUAAAGCACUUUAAGCGAGGAGGAGGCUUACCUGGUUAAUACCUGGGAUAAGUGGACGUUACUCGCAGAAUAAGCACCGGCUAACUCUGUGCCAGCAGCCGCGGUAAUACAGAGGGUGCAAGCGUUAAUCGGAUUUACUGGGCGUAAAGCGCGCGUAGGUGGCUAAUUAAGUCAAAUGUGAAAUCCCCGAGCUUAACUUGGGAAUUGCAUUCGAUACUGGUUAGCUAGAGUAUGGGAGAGGAUGGUAGAAUUCCAGGUGUAGCGGUGAAAUGCGUAGAGAUCUGGAGGAAUACCGAUGGCGAAGGCAGCCAUCUGGCCUAAUACUGACACUGAGGUGCGAAAGCAUGGGGAGCAAACAGGAUUAGAUACCCUGGUAGUCCAUGCCGUAAACGAUGUCUACUAGCCGUUGGGGCCCUUGAGGCUUUAGUGGCGCAGCUAACGCGAUAAGUAGACCGCCUGGGGAGUACGGUCGCAAGACUAAAACUCAAAUGAAUUGACGGGGGCCCGCACAAGCGGUGGAGCAUGUGGUUUAAUUCGAUGCAACGCGAAGAACCUUACCUGGCCUUGACAUACAGAGAACUUUCCAGAGAUGGAUUGGUGCCUUCGGGAACUCUGAUACAGGUGCUGCAUGGCUGUCGUCAGCUCCGUGCAAAC